UUUGCAAGUGAUGAUAAAACAGACAGGGACAUCAGAAAUCCUUUUAGGAUAAUAAUAUGUUGACACGUCUUGGGAAUCUCUCUGAUGCAUA
Papaver somniferum (opium poppy) is the source of this 91-nucleotide small nucleolar RNA. RefSeq annotates it as small nucleolar RNA R44/J54/Z268 family. Lineage: Eukaryota; Viridiplantae; Streptophyta; Magnoliopsida; Ranunculales; Papaveraceae. The transcript has a single exon. The record is from RefSeq and is a predicted model, not a curated record.